GCCUACGGGGGGCAGCAGUGAGGAAUAUUGGUCAAUGGGCGAGAGCCUGAACCAGCCAAGUCGCGUGAGGGAAGACGGUCCUAUGGAUUGUAAACCUCUUUUGCCGGGGAGCAAAAAGCGGUACGUGUACCGCAUCGAGAGUACCCGGAGAAAAAGCAUCGGCUAACUCCGUGCCAGCAGCCGCGGUAAUACGGAGGAUGCGAGCGUUAUCCGGAUUUAUUGGGUUUAAAGGGUGCGCAGGCGGCGAGUUAAGUCAGCGGUAAAAUUUCGGGGCUCAACCCCGACGCGCCGUUGAAACUGGCUUG
Molecule: ribosomal RNA, 305 nt
Filed under: uncultured bacterium
Lineage: Bacteria
Description: bacterial SSU rRNA
Rfam family: Bacterial small subunit ribosomal RNA
Source: RNAcentral